This 396-nucleotide ribosomal RNA is filed under the name uncultured bacterium. RNAcentral's name for it is "bacterial SSU rRNA". It matches the Rfam family "Bacterial small subunit ribosomal RNA", at positions 975 to 1375 of the family's 1533-position model. The record is from RNAcentral.
CUACCCUUGACAUGUCCGGAACUUGCCAGAGAUGGCUUGGUGCCCGAAAGGGAACCGGAACACAGGUGCUGCAUGGCUGUCGUCAGCUCGUGUCGUGAGAUGUUGGGUUAAGUCCCGCAACGAGCGCAACCCUUAUCAUUAGUUGCUACGCAAGGGCACUCUAAUGAGACUGCCGGUGACAAACCGGAGGAAGGUGGGGAUGACGUCAAGUCCUCAUGGCCCUUAUGGGUAGGGCUUCACACGUCAUACAAUGGUCGGUACAGAGGGUUGCCAAGCCGCGAGGUGGAGCCAAUCCCACAAAGCCGAUCGUAGUCCGGAUUGUUCUCUGCAACUCGAGAGCAUGAAGUCGGAAUCGCUAGUAAUCGCAGGUCAGCAUACUGCGGUGAAUACGUUCCC